GUCUUUAAGAAUUUAAUUUAAAGUCUAAUCUGCCCAAUGAAAAUUUUAAAUGGCUGCAGAAUUUUAACUGUACAAAGGUAGCAUAAUAAUUUGUUUUUUAAUUAAAAACUAGAAUGAAAGAUUUAAUGAAAUAUAAACUGUUUCAAUUAAAAUUAUAUUAAAUUUUUUAUUUAAGUAAAAAAACUUAAAUAAUAUAUAUAGACGACAAGACCCUAUAGAAUUUAAUUUAUUAUUUUUUAUUUUAAAAAAUAAUAAAUUUUAUUGGGGUAAUAUAAAAAUUUAUAAAAUUUUUUAUAAAAAUUACAUAUUUAAUGGAUAAAUUAUCUUAUUAUAUAAAUUAAAAAAAUUAAUUACCUUAGGGAUAACAGCAUAAUUUUUUUUAAAAGAUCUUAUUAAUAAAAAAGAUUAU
RNAcentral lists this ribosomal RNA (409 nucleotides) under Pycnobraconoides mutator. Its description in RNAcentral is "partial 16S ribosomal RNA". The record is from RNAcentral. Lineage: Eukaryota; Metazoa; Arthropoda; Insecta; Hymenoptera; Braconidae.